CUAACCUCCCACCCGUGAAUACCUGACCAACGUUGCUUCGGCGGUGCGCCCCCCCCCCGGGGGUAGCCGCCGGAGACCACACCGAACCUCCUGUCUUUAGUGUUGUCUGAGCUUGAUAGCAAACCUAUUAAAACUUUCAACAAUGGAUCUCUUGGUUCCGGCAUCGAUGAAGAACGCAGCGAACUGCGAUAAGUAAUGUGAAUUGCAGAAUUCAGUGAAUCAUCGAGUCUUUGAACGCACAUUGCGCCCCCUGGCAUUCCGGGGGGCAUGCCUGUCCGAGCGUCAUUGCUGCCCUUCAAGCCCGGCUUGUGUGUUGGGUCGUCGUCCCCCCCGGGGGACGGGCCCGAAAGGCAGCGGCGGCACCGCGUCCGGUCCUCGAGCGUAUGGGGCUUUGUCACCCGCUCGAUUAGGGCCGGCCGGGCGCCAGCCGGCGUCUCCAACCUUCUAUUUUACCAGGUUG
Molecule: unclassified non-coding RNA, 460 nt
Filed under: Aspergillus calidoustus
Lineage: Eukaryota; Fungi; Ascomycota; Eurotiomycetes; Eurotiales; Aspergillaceae
Description: sequence contains ITS1, 5.8S rRNA gene, ITS2
Rfam family: 5.8S ribosomal RNA (bases 132-285)
Source: RNAcentral